RNAcentral lists this ribosomal RNA (1272 nucleotides) under Greenidea kuwanai. RNAcentral's name for it is "16S large subunit ribosomal RNA". The record is from RNAcentral. Lineage: Eukaryota; Metazoa; Arthropoda; Insecta; Hemiptera; Aphididae.
UAAUUUAUUUUAUUAAUAUUUUUUUUAAUUAUUAUAAGAUUUAAAAAAAUAAUUUAUUUUGGAUUAUGUUUUAGUUUUUAAUUUAAAAAAAUUUGUAGAUUUAUAGUUUAUUAGUAUUGUGAAAGAAUUUAAUUAAAUUUAAUAAAGAAUUUUUUUUAGUACCUUUUGUAUCAGGGUUAAUUAAAAUUUUUAAUUUAUAUUUUAAAUUCUCAAAAUUUAUAGAGUUAAUUUUAUUUUUAAGUUAUUGUAUUAAAAAUAUUUAUAAAAUAAUUUUAGUUUAGAAAUUUAAUUCGUUAUAAUAUAUUUAGUUAUUUAAGAUUUAAAUUUAAUUUAAAAUUUUGAAAGUUUAAUUAAUUUUUUUUAAUUUAAUUUUAAAUUUAAAUUAUUUUAGGGAUAAGCUUAAAAUUUUUAUAAAAUAAUUUUUUUUUAAUUAAUAAAUUUUAGGAUUAGAAAUUUUUAUUUGAAGUUUGUAAAAUUUAUUAUUUGUUUAAUUUUAAUUUAUAUAAUUUUAUUUAUUUUAUAAUAUAAAUUUUAUAAAUUAUUUUUUAUUUAUAGUAAUAAUGAUUAAAUUAGAUAAUUGUUAUUUAUAAAUUAUGAAUUCGGCAAUUUUUAUUUUCAUCUGUUUAACAAAAACAUUGUAUUAAGUUUAAUUUAAUAUAGAAUCUGCUCAAUGAUUAUUAAUUAAAUAGCUGCAGUAUUUUGACUGUGCAAAGGUAGCAUAAUAAUUAGUCUUUUAAUUGAGGACUUGUAUGAAAGAUUUGAUGAAAAAUAAACUUUAUUAUUUAUAUUAUUAAAAUUUUAUUUUUAAGUAAAAAGGCUUAAAUUUUUUUAAGGGACGAUAAGACCCUAUAAAACUUUAUAAAUUUAAUUUUUUUAAAUUUUUGGUUUAUAAAUAAAUUUAAAAUUUUAAAUUUAUUUUAUUGGGGUGAUAAAAAAAAUAAUUAACUUUUUUUAAAAAUAAACAUUAAUUAAUGAUUUUUUGAAUUAAAAUUUUUAAUUAUAAGAAAAAGUUACUUUAGGGAUAUACAGCGGUAAUUAAUUUUUAAAGUUCAAAUUUGAAAAUUAGAUUGCGACCUCUCGAUGUUGAAUUAAGAUUAAUCUUAGGUGCAAAAUUUUAAGAUUUAGGUCUGUUCGACCUUUAAAUUCUUACAUGAUUUGAGUUCAAACCGGUGUAAGCCAGGUUGGUUUCUAUCUUUAAAUUUUUAUUUUUAUUUUAGUACGAAAGGAUUAAGUAAAAAAAUUAAAUUUUUUUAAAAAAAUAAUAUUAUUUUG